UAUCUUUAUAUACCAUUUUUGGUAGUUGAUUUUUUCAAUGUUUUGGAUAUAAUCUUCUUGAGAUACGUUUAAUGGUUCUUUGAAUGGGGUUUCGUUUGAUGUACUGGAUGAGGGUUUAUCGCUUUGGAUGAGUGCUAAUUUAGCAUCGAAUUCUAAUUGUUUUAAAGCUUGUUGAUUAACAAUUGUUUGUAAUUCUUUAAUUUG
This 204-nucleotide long non-coding RNA is filed under the name Brassica napus (rape). Its description in RNAcentral is "long non-coding RNA (BNAP_LNC021423)". Lineage: Eukaryota; Viridiplantae; Streptophyta; Magnoliopsida; Brassicales; Brassicaceae. The record is from RNAcentral.